RNAcentral lists this long non-coding RNA (1896 nucleotides) under Homarus americanus (American lobster). RNAcentral's name for it is "uncharacterized LOC121857259, transcript variant X1". Lineage: Eukaryota; Metazoa; Arthropoda; Malacostraca; Decapoda; Nephropidae. The record is from RNAcentral.
AGGAAGGACUCGCUAGAUUCACGUAGAGUACAAAGCCUUCUCACCGGUGUGGUCCAGGAUGUGGUCGUCACCGGUGUGGUCCAGGAUGUGGUCGUCACUGAUGUGGUGCAGGAUGUGGUCGUCACCGGUGUGGUCCAGGAUGUGGUCGUGACCAGUGUGGUGCAGGAUGUGGUCGUCACUGAUGUGGUGCAGGAUGUGGCCGUGACCAGUGUGGUCCAGGAUGUGGUCGUCACCGGUGUGGUCCAGGAUGUGGUCGUCACUGGUGUGGUGCAGGAUGUGGGAACAACGGACCAUAAAUGUGAAGCUUCUUGGACUCCCUACACAACAGUAUUCCUUAAGAUGACAGCUAAUGUACGUGAAGGCCAGUAUAGAGGAAGUGACAGAAUCUUCAGCAAGAUGUAACCAACAGCAAGUUACUUCAGCUUCCUCAGAUAAGUUACUUAUUUAUCAUAGUAUGGCCAUCCCCAGAAGCCACUGGAUGUAAGACUCGAGAGGAGAGACUUGCUUUUCGUGAAGGGUUGGGAAGAAGCAUAGGGCAGUGGGAGGAGGGGCGCUCGUACAGUGGGAGGAGGGGCGCUCGUACAGUGGGAGGAGGGGCGCUCGUACAGUGGAGGAGGGGUGCUCGUACAGUGGAAGGGCACAUCUGCAUGGCUGGUGGUGAGCUCAUACAAAGGACAAUAGUGAAAGUUAGAUUUCUAUGUGAUACAAAAAAAUGGCAUCUACUGUGAAGGCGUGUGGGGGAUGAUGCUUAUGAGAAGACGGCUGCAGCCACAAGUGAGGGAGGGUGGUCGAGUGUACAGUAUGGGUUUAUGUAAGGAUGUAAGUUUAGAAUGUAAGAAAUUUUGGAGUAAAUGAUGAGUUGGUAGUGACACAUUGUUAAUUAUGAUUGAUCUGAAUUCAAAAUCUUGUUGCAGAUGGUUGGUGUACAGGAGGUGGACACAAGGCAGCAAGAUGAUUGUAAUGGAUUCUCACUACUGUCCCACACCUCGAGGACUACCACGUUACUAAGUAUACAGAAUUGGUAUACUGUACCGUAAGAAUAAUGUAAUAUAAAAGUUAAAGUAAGUAUUACUGAAACCUUAUUUUAUAUACUGAAAUUUGGUAAAACGUGAGAAAUUAAGGUUAUGCAUUCAAGAACGUAAAAGUAAAUCUCCAUAUUGGUAUUGAUAUAUAAUGGGCUGGUUAAUCCAGACGUAUCUAAAAUGAAAUUCAUGUUGCAGAUGGUUGGUGUACAAGAGGUGGACAAAACAGGAAGACGACUGUUCUCACUACUGUCCCACAGCCCACACCUUGAGGACUACCACAUUACUAAGGAAAUGGUUGGUGUACAAGAGGUGGACAAGACAGGAAGAUGACUGUCCAGCAUCCCACACCUUGUGACUACCACCUUACUAAGUACAGAACUGGUAGAGUAUACAGAUGGUUGGUGUACAAGAUAGAUGGACAAGACAGGAAGACGACUGUUCUCACUACUGUCCAGCAUCCCACACCUUGAUGACUACCACCUUACUAAGAAAGUAUAUAGAAUUGGUAUACUGUACCGUAAGAAUAAUGUAAUCUAAAAGUUUAAAUGGUUGGUGUACAAGAGGUGGACAAGACAGGAAGAUGACUGUCCAGCAUCCCACACCUUGUGACUACCACCUUACUAAGUACAGAACUGGUACAGUCUACUGUCUUGUGAAGUAUCAACGAGGUGUAGAACAAGAGAUACUCGGACAUCAAUCAAAUUUAUCAUUUUCUUUUAGUGGUUUGUAAAAUUAAGUGUACAGUAAUAUGUAAGUGUUGUUCAAUAUGGAGAGGCCUCUAGUGGCUUGUGCUGGAGGGGGUGGCGUUUGUACUGUGGGGUGGCGUUUGUACUGUGGGGUGGCGUUUGUACUGUGGGGUGGCGUUUGUACU